UGCANNUCNAGGGGCAGCACGAUUUUCGGAUUGGUGGCGACCGGCGCACGGNUGCNUAACGCGUAUGCAACCUACCCUUUACGGGGGAUAGCCCGGGGAAACUCGGAUUAAUACCCCAUAGUAUAAUUGAAUCGCAUGGUUUAAUUAUUAAAGAUUUAUCGGUAAAGGAUGGGCAUGCGUAAGAUUANCUAGUUGGUAAGGUAAAGGCUUACCAAGGCGACNAUCUUUAGGGGGCCUGAGAGGGUGAUCCCCCACACUGGUACUGAGACACGGACCANACUCCUACNGGAGGCAGCAGUGAGGAAUAUUGGGCAAUGGAGGCAACUCUGACCCAGCCAUGCCGCGUGAAGGAAGAAUGCCUUAUGGGUUGUAAACUUCUUUUAUAAGGGAAUAAACCCACCUACGUGUAGGUGGCUGAAGGUACCUUAUGAAUAAGCACCGGCUAACUCCGUGCCAGCAGCCGCGGUAAUACGGAGGGUGCAAGCGUUAUCCGGAUUCAUUGGGUUUAAAGGGNGCGCAGGCGGCCUUAUAAGUCAGUGGUGAAAUCCUCCCGCUCAACGGGAGAACUGCCAUUGAUACUGUAGGGCUUGAAUCUAGUUGAAGUGGGCGGAAUACGUCAUGUAGCGGUGAAAUGCAUAGAUAUGACGUAGAACACCGAUUGCGAANGCAGCUCACUAAGUUAGUANUGACGCUGANGCACGAAAGCGUGGGGAGCGAACAGNAUUAGAUACCCUGGUAGUCCNCNCCGUAAACGANGGNCACUCGCUGNUGGCNANAUNNUGUCAGUGGCUGANCGAAAGCAUU
Molecule: ribosomal RNA, 804 nt
Filed under: uncultured bacterium
Lineage: Bacteria
Description: partial 16S small subunit ribosomal RNA
Rfam family: Bacterial small subunit ribosomal RNA
Source: RNAcentral